CCUGCGGGCCGGGGAAAGACCGGGCAGAAUGGGGGAGGAGAGAGAGAGAGACGGUGAGGACACCCCGAAUCAGAGAGAUGCGGAAAAACAGCAAGACAGCGUGUGUGUGUGGGGGGAAGGGGGAAGAUACCAGGAGUCAUGGGCGAGAGAGAAGGGGGGGGACAGGCACUCAGAGAGGGAGAGUGACCCAGGAAGAAAGGACAGAGAUCGAGAGAGAGAAACAGACUCAGAGAGGAGACGACAGAGAUGGAGAAAGAGAGAGGGGGAGAGGACACCCCGAAUCAGAGAUAUGCGGAAAGACAGCGGGGGAACAGAUACCGGGAGAGGGAGAAGGGAAGGGACAGGAAGAGGGAGACAGAGAGAACAUCCAGAGAGAGGCGACAGGCACUCAGAGAGGGAGAGUGACCCAGGAAGAAAGGGCAGAGAUCGAGAGAGAGAGAGAGAAACAGGCUCAGAAAGAGGGGACGACAGAGAUGGAGAGAAAGACAGAGAGAGCCAGAGACCCGGGAAAGGACAUUGACAGAGGGGGACGGAAGUUUAGAUGGAGGGAGGUACACAGAGCAGGAGGAGGAUUGGGCAGGUAAGAGAAAAAUGACAGCUCUGUGAUUCCUCUGUAAUCUUCCCCACUCCCCCUCCCGAGAGCCGUACCCCCCUCUUCCCCGCCCCCACACUCCGUAAGGGGCGGGAAGGGGCUCUAUUCCUGGGGCACAUUCCUCAUCCCCAGGCUCCAUGUGACCCUAGGAGGCCCCGCCCAAGCCCGUGUCACCACAGUGAAAUUCGGGUGAUGGUGUCACGGUUAAGAAGGCGGCUGAGGAACGGGUUUGAGCUGCCAGCCACCUGUGUGUGGGGAAGAGUAUGGACAGUCAGGGACCCGAUGCCCUGGGUAGAGCACUGAACUGCAAAGCAUGAGGUCCUGACUUUUAUCCCUGGCAUCACAUGUUCCAGAGUGACUGUGGUUCUCUCGGCCUCUUUCUCAUAGACAAAUAAAUGUUUAAAAUAA
This is a long non-coding RNA of Erinaceus europaeus (western European hedgehog), 1000 nucleotides long. RefSeq lists it as uncharacterized. NCBI's taxonomy places the organism in Eukaryota, Metazoa, Chordata, Mammalia, Eulipotyphla, Erinaceidae. The transcript is spliced from 3 exons. The record is from RefSeq and is a predicted model, not a curated record.